Molecule: non-coding RNA, 322 nt
Organism: Schizosaccharomyces pombe (fission yeast)
Lineage: Eukaryota; Fungi; Ascomycota; Schizosaccharomycetes; Schizosaccharomycetales; Schizosaccharomycetaceae
Source: the annotation of a GenBank genome assembly
UAAAUCUGACACAAGCGUCAAAGUCAACAAUGAAAAUAAACUAGCAAAGCGAUCGUUUGACCAAUAAUGACAUUGGUUUAUGUUACAAAGAAGUUAGUGAUACAUGUGUUUUUUGAUUUAGAAGUUAUGGCAAAAGCGGUUAUUGAUUCUAAAGAGGAUAUAAAGAUUUAAGCGAGUUCUCUUAUUUUUUUUUUUUACAUUUCCUUGGUAUAUUGAGAAACGAGUCUUUGGUUAAACAUGAAUAGAAUAUGACUAUAGUACAUGUUUAGUUAUAGUGAGUAAUAGUGGAUAUUAAUACUAACGAAUUGCAGUGACAAUACUU